GUCAGGAUAGCUCAGUGAGAGCAGAGAUCGA
RNAcentral lists this transfer RNA (31 nucleotides) under Avena fatua var. glabrata. RNAcentral describes it as "partial tRNA-Phe". The record is from RNAcentral. Lineage: Eukaryota; Viridiplantae; Streptophyta; Magnoliopsida; Poales; Poaceae.